GUAGGCAACUCUAAUGGCGGGGAUUUUUCUUCUCUGAGUGAUAUGGGAAGCCAUGAGCUACCUUGAAACAGAGGAGUGACAUGAUUGGCUUAUAUUGAAAAAAUAUCACUUUGGCUUGUCUGUUAAAAUCUGUGGGCAAAGUUGUAAGUAUAAAAUUAGAAGGUUAUUGCAAUAAUCAAAUAAGUGAUUAAUUAUUGUUAGUAAAAGUGGGAGAAGUGUCAGGAUUCUGGAUAUAUUUUUAAGGUAGGAGCCAAAGUUUUCCUGAAAAAUUAAUUGUCGAAUGUGAGAAAAGGCAAAUCCAGGGUGGAUUCCAAAGAUUGCAGCCUGAGUAAAUGGGAGGUGGAGUUGUCAUUUACUUAGAGAAGAAAUAUUUUGGAGUAUACAUUUUGGGAGGGAUAAGAGCAAGAAUUUAGUUUUAGUUAGGUGGAGUUGAAAUUUCCUUGGAUUAGGAUGAAACUGAGCCUGUAUCCACAAGGUUGAUGUGGGAAACCAAGUAACCAAAGUUUCUGAGCUUGUCUUGCAGAACAACAUGAGGACUGCUGAUGAAGAAAGUAGCUUGCUGACAGCUCCCCGCCUGCCUAAGCAUCGCGCAGGAGCACUGAGCAGCCACAAUGACCCAUUCAGGAAGCAGAAGGCCUAAGCCAUCUAUAAUCUUCUUACUUGAGAGUGGGAAAGAGCCAUGGAUGGAAGAGAGAAUGGUGACACGAGCCACAAGCUCAGGUCACUGCCACAGCAUGGCCGCCAACAAGUGGUAUAGGUCCGUGCCCAGGAACCAAAUCCAGGCUGCUGAAGUGGAGCACAGCGAAUUUAACUGCUAGGCCAUGUGGCCAGCCCCAAGUUUUCAAUUUUAAUUAAUUUAAAUAAUAGUGUUUUAUCCAUUCUAUUGUCUGUAACCGAAUUUUAUCAGUUGAUCCAAAAUGUUCUUUAUGGCUUUUCCCCCUUUAGUACAGUGUCAACUCUAGUGGCAGUUACUGCAUUUAAUUAUGGCACUUUAGUCUCCUUUAAUUUGGAACAUUUUGUCACUCUUUCCUGGCCUUUUAGGAAAUUAACAUUUUUGAGGAAUUUAUUCUCCUUUUGAGUAGAAUAUUCUUUAUUUUGGAUUAGUCUGAUGUUUCUUCAUGAUUAGAUUCAAGUUCUGCAUUCCCCGUUGGAAAUGCUCCAUGAGUAAUACUGGGUAUUUUAGGCAUCACUUCCAGAGGCACAGGAUGUCCAUCUGCCCCUUCUUGGUGAUAUUAAUUUUGAUCACCCAGAGUAUUGUCUGAUUUCUCUACAAAAUGGUUACUUUUUUUCUCCCUCUUACAAUUGACAAGCAAUCUGUGGGAAGACACUUUAAGGCCAUGCAAAUACUCUGGUUCUUGUAAAAUUUCCCCCCUAGAUUUGGCAUCCAUUGGUUAUUUUGUCCUGACUCAGUCUUUACUCUGAUGGUGUCAAAAGGCUGAUUUUCCAACUAUGUGGACUCUUUCCACAUUUGCUAUUCAGCUCUAGAGAUUCUACUCUAAGCAAGAGGCAAGAGUCCUUUUUUCUCAUUCAUUCAUUUUCAGUAUGGACUUAUUUGUUCGUUUGUUUUCAAUGGGAUAUAUAUAACUUCUCUAAUUAUUUUGAUAAUCAAAUUGUCUCAAAUUUUGCCAGUGGGAGUCUUUUCAAGCAGGCUUUGAUAUUCCUGUGACAUGCAUAUGGAUUUUGAAUCAUAAUUAAAGAGCCUUUUGCCACACGCAGGUUAUUGAGGAAUUCACUCUUAUUUAGUACUUGUACAAUUUCAUUUUUCCUUAAAUCUACUUGUAUUUUAUUUUUAUGUAUGGUGUAAUGAAUCUAAUUUUAUCUUUCUUUUCCAAACAGCCAUACAUUUCUUCCAACACCAUUUCUUUAAAACACUGUCUUUGCCUCACUGAUUUAAGAUUUCACCUUUAUUUACAUGUGUUGCGUCUAUUUUAGGGGUUUCUUUUCCAAUGGUCUGUCUCUUCAUGCACCAGUACCACACUGUUUUAAUUAUAGAGGCUUUGACAGAUGUUUUAAUGUCUAAGAGGGCUAUUUUCUCAUCAUAUCCCUUUUUAGUGUUGUCUUGGCUAUUCUUACAUGUUUAUUUUUCCAUAUGAAUUUUAC
Equus caballus (horse) is the source of this 2100-nucleotide long non-coding RNA. The record is from Ensembl. Lineage: Eukaryota; Metazoa; Chordata; Mammalia; Perissodactyla; Equidae.